RNAcentral lists this ribosomal RNA (494 nucleotides) under Streptococcus parasanguinis. RNAcentral's name for it is "bacterial SSU rRNA". It matches the Rfam family "Bacterial small subunit ribosomal RNA", at positions 28 to 505 of the family's 1533-position model. Lineage: Bacteria; Bacillati; Bacillota; Bacilli; Lactobacillales; Streptococcaceae. The record is from RNAcentral.
GAUGAACGCUGGCGGCGUGCCUAAUACAUGCAAGUAGAACGCUGAAGCUUGGUGCUUGCACCGAGCGGAUGAGUUGCGAACGGGUGAGUAACGCGUAGGUAACCUGCCUCUUAGCGGGGGAUAACUAUUGGAAACGAUAGCUAAUACCGCAUAAAAGACGAUAUCGCAUGAUAUUGAUUUGAAAGAUGCAAUUGCAUCACUAAGAGAUGGACCUGCGUUGUAUUAGCUAGUUGGUGAGGUAACGGCUCACCAAGGCGACGAUACAUAGCCGACCUGAGAGGGUGAUCGGCCACACUGGGACUGAGACACGGCCCAGACUCCUACGGGAGGCAGCAGUAGGGAAUCUUCGGCAAUGGGGGCAACCCUGACCGAGCAACGCCGCGUGAGUGAAGAAGGUUUUCGGAUCGUAAAGCUCUGUUGUAAGAGAAGAACGAGUGUGAGAGUGGAAAGUUCACACUGUGACGGUAACUUACCAGAAAGGACGGCUAACUACG